UGUACCUUAGGAAUAAGCAUCGGCUAACUCCGUGCCAGCAGCCGCGGUAAUACGGAGGAUGCGAGCGUUAUCCGGAUUUAUUGGGUUUAAAGGGUGCGUAGGUGGAUUGGUCAGUCAGCGGUGAAAUCUCGGAGCUUAACUCUGAAACUGCCGUUGAAACUUCCAAUCUUGAGUGUGAACGAGGUAGGCGGAAUUCGUAGUGUAGCGGUGAAAUGCAUAGAUAUUACGAAGAACUCCGAUAGCGCAGGCAGCUUACCAGGCCACAACUGACACUGAUGCACGAAAGUGUGGGUAUCAAACAGGAUUAGAUACCCUGGUAGUCCACACAGUAAACGAUGAAUACUAACUGUUUGCGAUAUACAGUAAGCGGUACAGCGAAAGCGUUAAGUAUUCCACCUGGGGAGUACGCCGGCAACGGUGAAACUCAAAGGAAUUGACGGGGGCCCGCACAAGCGGAGGAACAUGUGGUUUAAUUCGAUGAUACGCGAGGAACCUUACCCGGGCUCGAACGGCUAGUGAGUAUGGAUGAAAGUUCAUAGUCAGCAAUGACACUAGUCGAGGUGCUGCAUGGUUGUCGUCAGCUCGUGCCGUGAGGUGUCGGCUUAAGUGCCAUAACGAGCGCAACCCUUAUCUUUAGUUACCAUCAGGUUAAGCUGGGGACUCUAGAGAGACUGCCACCGUAAGGUGUGAGGAAGGUGGGGAUGACGUCAAAUCAGCACGGCCCUUACGUCCGGGGCUACACACGUGUUACAAUGGGGGGGACAAAGGGCAGCUACCGGGCGACCGGAUGCUAAUCUCCAAACCCUCUCCCAGUUCGGAUCGAAGUCUGCAACCCGACUUCGUGAAGCUGGAUUCGCUAGUAAUCGCGCAUCAGCCAUGGCGCGGUGAAUACGUUCCCGGGCCUUGUACACACCGCCCGUCAAGCCAUGAAAGCCGGGGGUACCUGAAGUACGUAACCGUAAGGAGCGUCCUAGGGUAAAACUGGUAAUUGGGGCUAAGUCGUAACAAGGUA
RNAcentral lists this ribosomal RNA (1012 nucleotides) under uncultured bacterium. RNAcentral's name for it is "bacterial SSU rRNA". It matches the Rfam family "Bacterial small subunit ribosomal RNA", at positions 474 to 1498 of the family's 1533-position model. The record is from RNAcentral.